GAUGAACGCUGGCGGCGUGCCUAAUACAUGCAAGUCGAGCGAACGGACGAGAAGCUUGCUUCUCUGAUGUUAGCGGCGGACGGGUGAGUAACACGUGGAUAACCUACCUAUAAGACUGGGAUAACUUCGGGAAACCGGAGCUAAUACCGGAUAAUAUUUUGAACCGCAUGGUUCAAAAGUGAAAGACGGUCUUGCUGUCUCUUAUAGAUGGAUCCGCGCUGCAUUAGCUAGUUGGUAAGGUAACGGCUUACCAAGGCAACGAUGCAUAGCCGACCUGAGAGGGGGAUCGGCCACACUGGAACUGAGCCACGGACCAGACUACUACGGGAGGGAGCAGUAGGGAAUCUUCCGCAAUGGGCGAAAGCCAGACGGAGCAACGCCGAGUGAGUGAUGAAGGUCUUCGGAGCGUAAAACUCUGUUAUUAGGGAAGAACAUAUGUGUAAGUAACUGUGCACAUCUUGACGGUACCUAAUCAGAAAGCCACGGCUAACUACGUG
Molecule: ribosomal RNA, 497 nt
Filed under: uncultured bacterium
Lineage: Bacteria
Description: partial 16S ribosomal RNA
Rfam family: Bacterial small subunit ribosomal RNA
Source: RNAcentral